RNAcentral lists this ribosomal RNA (441 nucleotides) under uncultured bacterium. RNAcentral describes it as "partial 16S ribosomal RNA". It matches the Rfam family "Bacterial small subunit ribosomal RNA", at positions 339 to 795 of the family's 1533-position model. The record is from RNAcentral.
CUACGGGUUGCACCAGUGGGGAAUAUUGCACAAUGGGCGCAAGCCUGAUGCAGCAACGCCGCGUGAACGAUGAAGGCCCUUGGGUCGUAAAGUUCUGUCCUUGGGGAAGAAACAAAUGACGGUACCCAAGAAGAAAGCCCCGGCUAAUUACGUGCCAGCAGCCGCGGUAAUACGUAAGGGGCGGGCGUUAUCCGGAAUUAUUGGGCGUAAAGAGUAUGUAGGUGGUUUUUUAAGCGCGAGGUUUAAGGCAAUGGCUCAACCAUUGUUUGCCUUGCGAACUGGAAAACUUGAGUGCAGGAGAGGAAAGCGGAAUUCCUAGUGUAGCGGUGAGAUGCGUAGAUAUUAGGAGGAACACCAGUGGCGAAGGCGGCUUUCUGGACUGUAACUGACACUGAGAUACGAAAGCGUGGGGAGCAAACAGGAUUAGAUACCCCAGUAGUC